CUGGACUUGAGCAGUCGAGCGAUGAAGCUUCCUUCGGGAAGUGGAUUAGCGGCGGACGGGUGAGUAACACGUGGGUAACCUGCCUCAAAGUGGGGGAUAGCCUUCCGAAAGGAAGAUUAAUACCGCAUAACAUAAGAGAAUCGCAUGAUUUUCUUAUCAAAGAUUUAUUGCUUUGAGAUGGACCCGCGGCGCAUUAGCUAGUUGGUAAGGUAACGGCUUACCAAGGCAACGAUGCGUAGCCGACCUGAGAGGGUGAUCGGCCACAUUGGAACUGAGACACGGUCCAGACUCCUACGGGAGGCAGCAGUGGGGAAUAUUGCGCAAUGGGGGAAACCCUGACGCAGCAACGCCGCGUGGGUGAUGAAGGUCUUCGGAUUGUAAAGCCCUGUUUUCUGGGACGAUAAUGACGGUACCAGAGGAGGAAGCCACGGCUAACUACGUGCCAGCAGCCGCGGUAAUACGUAGGUGGCGAGCGUUGUCCGGAUUUACUGGGCGUAAAGGGUGCGUAGGCGGAUGUUUAAGUGGGAUGUGAAAUCCCCGGGCUUAACCUGGGGGCUGCAUUCCAAACUGGAUAUCUAGAGUGCAGGAGAGGAAAGCGGAAUUCCUAGUGUAGCGGUGAAAUGCGUAGAGAUUAGGAAGAACACCAGUGGCGAAGGCGGCUUUCUGGACUGUAACUGACGCUGAGGCACGAAAGCGUGGGUAGCAAACAGGAUUAGAUACCCUGGUAGUCCACGCCGUAAACGAUGGAUACUAGGUGUAGGGGGUAUCAACUCCCCCUGUGCCGCAGUUAACACAAUAAGUAUCCCGCCUGGGGAGUACGGUCGCAAGAUUAAAACUCAAAGGAAUUGACGGGGGCCCGCACAAGCAGCGGAGCAUGUGGUUUAAUUCGAAGCAACGCGAAGAACCUUAC
Molecule: ribosomal RNA, 910 nt
Filed under: Clostridium sporogenes
Lineage: Bacteria; Bacillati; Bacillota; Clostridia; Eubacteriales; Clostridiaceae
Description: bacterial SSU rRNA
Rfam family: Bacterial small subunit ribosomal RNA
Source: RNAcentral